RNAcentral lists this ribosomal RNA (983 nucleotides) under uncultured bacterium. RNAcentral describes it as "bacterial SSU rRNA". It matches the Rfam family "Bacterial small subunit ribosomal RNA", at positions 28 to 1051 of the family's 1533-position model. The record is from RNAcentral.
AACGAACGUUGGCGGCAUGGAUUAGGCAUGCAAGUCGCGGGAAUCCAGCAAUGGGGAACCGGCGUAAGGGGCAGUAAGGCAUGGGUACCUACCCCGGGGUUCGGGAUAGCCACCAGAAAUGGUGGGUAAUACCGGAUGACCUCGAGAGAGCAAAGGUCCGCCGCCCUGGGAGGGGCCCAUGUGAUAUUAGCUUGUUGGUGAGGUAACGGCUCACCAAGGCGAAGAUGUCUAGCGGGUGUGAGAGCACGACCCGCGCCACUCGCACUGAGACACUGGCGAGACACCUACGGGUGGCUGCAGUCGAGGAUCUUCGGCAAUGGGGGCAACCCUGACCGAGCGAUGCCGCGUGCGCGAUGAAGGCCUUCGGGUUGUAAAGCGCGAAAGUGGGGAGAAAAGCGAAAGUUUGAUCUAUCCACAGUAAGCUCGGGCUAAGUUCGUGCCAGCAGCCGCGGUAAGACGAACCGAGCGAACGUUGUUCGGAAUCACUGGGCUUAAAGGGCGCGUAGGCGGGCUGUCAAGUUUGGGGUGAAAUCCCACGGCUCAACCGUGGAACUGCCUCAAAUACUGACGGUCUCGAGGGAGGUAGGGGCGAGCGGAACUGAUGGUGGAGCGGUGAAAUGCGUUGAUAUCAUCAGGAACUCCGGUGGCGAAGGCGGCUCGCUGGACCUUUUCUGACGCUGAGGCGCGAAAGCUAGGGGAGCAAACGGGAUUAGAUACCCCGGUAGUCCUAGCCCUAAACGUUGGGUACUAGGUAGUAGACUAGACAUGGGUUCACUGCCGAAGCAAAAGUGCUAAGUACCCCGCCUGGGGAGUAUGGUCGCAAGGCUGAAACUCAAAGGAAUUGACGGGGGCUCACACAAGUGGUGGAGCAUGUGGUUUAAUUCGACGCUACGCGAAGAACCUUACCUGGGUUUGACAUCUAUGGGAAGGCGCUAGAGAUAGUGUCCGUCCUUCGGGACUCAUAGACAGGUGCUGCAUGGCUG